Molecule: transfer RNA, 85 nt
Filed under: Leifsonia sp. TF02-11
Lineage: Bacteria; Bacillati; Actinomycetota; Actinomycetes; Micrococcales; Microbacteriaceae
Description: tRNA-Leu
Rfam family: tRNA
About the family: Transfer RNA (tRNA) molecules are approximately 80 nucleotides in length. Their secondary structure includes four short double-helical elements and three loops (D, anti-codon, and T loops). Further hydrogen bonds mediate the characteristic L-shaped molecular structure. tRNAs have two regions of fundamental functional importance: the anti-codon, which is responsible for specific mRNA codon recognition, and the 3' end, to which the tRNAs corresponding amino acid is attached (by aminoacyl-tRNA synthetases). tRNAs cope with the degeneracy of the genetic code in two manners: having more than one tRNA (with a specific anti-codon) for a particular amino acid; and 'wobble' base-pairing, i.e. permitting non-standard base-pairing at the 3rd anti-codon position.
Source: RNAcentral
GCGGGAGUGGUGAAACUGGCAGACACGCAGGAUUUAGGUUCCUGUGCUUCACGGCGUGAGGGUUCGAGUCCCUUCUCCCGCACCA